This 402-nucleotide ribosomal RNA is filed under the name Candidatus Solibacter sp. Its description in RNAcentral is "partial 16S ribosomal RNA". It matches the Rfam family "Bacterial small subunit ribosomal RNA", at positions 355 to 774 of the family's 1533-position model. The record is from RNAcentral. Lineage: Bacteria; Pseudomonadati; Acidobacteriota; Terriglobia; Bryobacterales; Solibacteraceae. RNAcentral also lists the same sequence under 1 other name.
UGGGGAAUCUUGCACAAUGGGGGAAACCCUGAUGCAGCGACGCCGCGUGAGCGAUGAAGCCCUUCGGGGUGUAAAGCUCUUUCGUCAGGGAAGAUAGUGACGGUACCUGGAGAAGCAGCUGCGGCUAACUACGUGCCAGCAGCCGCGGUAAUACGUAGGCAGCAAGCGUUGUUCGGAGUUACUGGGCGUAAAGGGUGUGUAGGCGGUUCUUUAAGUUUGCUGUGAAAUCUCCCGGCUUAACCGGGAGGGUGCGGUGAAUACUGAGGGACUAGAGUACGGGAGAGGAAAGUGGAAUUCCUGGUGUAGCGGUGAAAUGCGUAGAUAUCAGGAGGAACACCGGUGGUGUAGACGGCUUUCUGGACCGACACUGACGCUGAGACACGAAAGCGUGGGUAGCAAACA